AUGGUUUUCUCCUCCUUCCCGAUCUUCCUCGACCCUCCAAGUUGGGCCCAGAUGCAGCAGCAGCCUCUUCAGUGUUUCAUGGGAGGAGGUGGCGGCAGCGAGCACCAGCACCACCAGCUGAUCCCUGCGUCGUCCGGCCAGCUGGCGCCGCUGCCGGACGUGCCCGGCAACACUGCGGCAAGCGCGCCGCCGGUGGCCGGAUCGUCCUCGGCCUCGCUGCAGCUGGUUGUGUCGGGACAGCAGGGUAACCCGGGUGAGCAGCCGCCGCGGCCGUCAGUGUCGAUGACCGAGCGCGCCCGGAUGGCCCGCGUGCCGCUGCCGGAGCCCGGCACGCUCCGGUGCCCGCGCUGCGACUCGGCCAACACCAAGUUCUGCUACUUCAACAACUACUCGCUCUCGCAGCCGCGCCACUUCUGCAAGGCCUGCCGCCGCUACUGGACGCGGGGCGGCGCCCUCCGCAACGUCCCCGUCGGCGGCGGCUGCCGCCGCAACACCAAGCGCUCCAGCAAGAAGUCGUCGCGCCAGGGCCAGGGCCAGGGCGGCGGCGGUGCCGUCGCGGCCGCCACGUCGUCCUCCUCCACCACCUCCACCUCGACCACCACAAGCGCCGCCGCGGCGACCGCGGCCGACGUCAUCGCCAGCAUGCAGGCGCUGCCGCACCACCUAGGCGGCCUCCCCGCGGCAGCCGCACUGGAGGCGUCGCUCGAGGGGUACCACAGCCACAGCCACCACCAACACCAUAACCUGCCGUUCCUGCCGCCGCAGUUCCUGCAGCAAGGGCUGCACGGGUACCACAUCGCCGACGGCGACAUCGGCUCACAGCUGGCCGACGGGUUUCCGAGAGGCGUGGCGUCGGGGCUGCUCGCGCAGCUGGCGUCGAUCAAGAUGGAGGAGCACGGCGCGGGCGCUGGCGGCGCUGGAGGCGGCUUUGUCGGAGCGCACGAGCAGUACUGGCCCGGGAGCGGUGGCGGGGGCGGGUGGCCGACGGAGUUCUUGUCCGGGUUCAGCUCCUCCUCGUCGGGGAAUGUGAUGUGA
This 1035-nucleotide ribosomal RNA is filed under the name Triticum aestivum (bread wheat). RNAcentral describes it as "partial small subunit ribosomal RNA". The record is from RNAcentral. Lineage: Eukaryota; Viridiplantae; Streptophyta; Magnoliopsida; Poales; Poaceae.